This 279-nucleotide unclassified non-coding RNA is filed under the name plant metagenome. RNAcentral's name for it is "partial contains small subunit ribosomal RNA, internal transcribed spacer 1, and 5.8S ribosomal RNA". The record is from RNAcentral.
UUUCCGUAGGUGAACCUGCGGAAGGAUCAUUAUUGUAUAACCGAGGUGCGAGGGCUGUCGCUGACCCGAAAGUUCGUGUACGCACGAGUGCCCUCACACCCAUCCAUCUAACCCCUAUGUGGACCACCUCGUGGGUCCCCCUUUGGCUUGUUCGGCGGGGGGCUAACGUUUACAAACAAACAUUGUAUGUACUGUAGAAUGUGUUUUUUGUUUUUGCGAACACGCAAUCAAUAAAACUUUAAACCAUGGUUCUCUUGGCGCUCGCAACGCUGAAGAACG